RNAcentral lists this ribosomal RNA (253 nucleotides) under uncultured bacterium. Its description in RNAcentral is "partial 16S ribosomal RNA". It matches the Rfam family "Bacterial small subunit ribosomal RNA", at positions 524 to 776 of the family's 1533-position model. The record is from RNAcentral.
UACGGAGGGUGCGAGCGUUGUCCGGAAUCACUGGGCGUAAAGGGCGCGUAGGCGGCCUGAUAAGUAGGGGGUGAAAUCCUGCGGCUUAACCGCAGGGCUGCCUCCUAAACUGUCAGGCUUGAGCACAGUAGAGGCAGGUGGAAUUCCCGGUGUAGCGGUGGAAUGCGUAGAGAUCGGGAAGAACAUCAGUGGCGAAGGCGGCCUGCUGGGCUGUUGCUGACGCUGAGGCGCGACAGCGUGGGGAGCAAACAGG